RNAcentral lists this unclassified non-coding RNA (296 nucleotides) under fungal sp. RNAcentral describes it as "partial internal transcribed spacer region". The stretch from base 1 to 46 matches the Rfam family "Eukaryotic small subunit ribosomal RNA", at positions 1786 to 1831 of the family's 1831-position model. The record is from RNAcentral. Lineage: Eukaryota; Fungi.
AAGUCGUAACAAGGUCUCCGUAGGUGAACCUGCGGAGGGAUCAUUCACAUGAUCAUAAUCUUAAACAAUUCUGUGAACUUUUUUUUUUUAAAACUAUUCUUUUUGUUUUUUAUUUUCUUUCAUUAGAAAACAAAAAACAAAAUUACAUUCGAUUGUACAUUAGAUAGCUGGUUUCUUUUUUUGUUUACAAAAAAAAGUAUUCUACAGCUGAUUGAAAUAUAUCUAAACAAUAUAUUUGAAUCAUGUCAAACAAACAUAGAAUUUAACAACUCUAUGCCCUGGAUAUCUUGGUUCUC